RNAcentral lists this ribosomal RNA (379 nucleotides) under uncultured cyanobacterium. RNAcentral describes it as "bacterial SSU rRNA". It matches the Rfam family "Bacterial small subunit ribosomal RNA", at positions 376 to 770 of the family's 1533-position model. Lineage: Bacteria; Bacillati; Cyanobacteriota. The record is from RNAcentral.
CGAAAGCCUGACGGAGCAACGCCGCGUGGGGGAAGAAGGUUCUUGGAUUGUAAACCCCUUUUCUCAGGGAAGAAGUUCUGACGGUACCUGAGGAAUCAGCCUCGGCUAACUCCGUGCCAGCAGCCGCGGUAAUACGGAGGAGGCAAGCGUUAUCCGGAAUCAUUGGGCGUAAAGCGUCCGCAGGGGGCUCAUCAAGUCUGCUGUCAAAGGUCGGAGCUCAACUCCGGUUCGGCAGUGGAAACUGGUGAGCUAGAGGGCGACAGGGGUAGAGGGAAUUCCCAGUGUAGCGGUGAAAUGCGUAGAGAUUGGGAAGAACACCGGUGGCGAAAGCGUUCUGCUGGGCCGCACCUGACCCUGAGGGACGAAAGCCAGGGGAGCG